Molecule: long non-coding RNA, 1234 nt
Organism: Amphibalanus amphitrite
Lineage: Eukaryota; Metazoa; Arthropoda; Thecostraca; Balanomorpha; Balanidae
Exons: 2
Source: RefSeq, a predicted model, not a curated record
UGUGGGCCCCACAUGGGCAGUUGAUGGGCAUGGUGGGCUAGGUGGGCCAUGGGCUAGAGAUGGGCAAAUAUGUGGGCUGCAUGUGGGCCCCACAUGGGCUGCCCACAUAUUUUUUGGCAGGCAUAAUGCUUGAUAAUGAGAUUGCUUGCACAUGUACGAGGGCAUAUCCAGGAAUUUUGGUGAACACAGGCAUUCACGCGGUGUUCCUGUAUGGUGGGCUUAACAUGGGCACUGCGUGGGCAGCCCAUGUAGUGGGGUGUAGGUGGGCUGGAUGUGGGCAGCCCAUUAUUUAUUUUUUCACUGUCCAAUGUGUAUGAUAUUACAAGAAAAAAGAACUCGCUGUUUAGCCUCAUGCCUCCAAAAUACACUUCGACGUCGUGAGGAAGUCGCAUAGUUGAUGUUUGUGAGACCAGCUACGGCUGAUAUUGGACAGUCAAUGUUGUGAUUGUGUCGUAUGAUUGUGUCGCCUGAGCCCGCCCCUGCGCGGGCGACCCGCCGGCGGAGCUCGGCCCACCGGACGGGGCCUGGGCCCGCCUCUGCACCGCCCGGGGCGGUGACCGGCCGACCGGCUGACGGGGCUGCGGCGUCUGGGCGGGCCAGUUGGCGUUGAGACUCCGAGUGGUGUGCGUGUCCAAUAAAGCCUUAAUUCGGGCGGAACUACUGGCCCGGGAUCUACCGGGAUGUGGAAAAUGUCACCCGCUGCUGUACCAGCUGCCAGAGAGAUCUACCCGCUCAGCAGCAAGAGACCAUGAUGAGGAGACCGCUAGCGGAAAGGCCGUUCGAACUAAACAUCGACUUUGCCGAUCACGCCGGCAGGAAGUACCUCGUGGCAGUGGACAGAUACUCCGGGUGGCUGUUUGUCGCCGACCUCGGUGUAAGCGCCCCCGCUUACACCGGUCCGAAGGACGAUAGCAGGCGUCAUUACGAGCGCACUCGCUACGCGACGAAGCGUAAAUGGACGGCACGGGAAAAGGGCUUUCGGCGGUACCCGGCUUUUUGAUAUCGUGUUCAGAGCCGUGCGGCGGAACGGGCUUACCCAGGACACCAACAACGGCCAGCUGGAGGUGGCGCCACGAAAGUGGUUUACGGGUGCCAGGAACCGCGACGGAGGCCGCCAGGAGAGGAGACCAGCUGGAGGAGCAGAUGAGAGAAGAAGUCUAGAGAUGAACAGAAGAGAGGAGAGAGUUUAAACAGCAUUUUUGUGUUUAUCGAUAAUAUACAUAUUGAUCACUGA